AUGACUAACCCUAACCCUACUACUAAUAGCCUUUAUGAGUCUUGUGGUGAUGCAGGAAGAAUUCGUGAAGAAAUCAUCGAAAAUAGCGAAGAAAAUACGGCAGCAGAUCCAUAUUUUAUGUGCCCUAAGCUGGGGAGCAAAUCUCCCUUGGGAUCUGCCCAGGAGCUGCCGUGCAGCCAAUCCACCUUGGGAUCGAUGCCCCGCAGCGAUCCUGCCGCGACAGCUCCGACAGCUGCCGGUGGGCACGCUGAGCCGCCCGCGUCAGCCACGCGGCAGAAUCCGGAUGGCCGCGGCGACUCCCCUCGUCCACACCAAUCACCGUCCAGCAGAUGCAGGCUAGUGCUGGCCUGGGCCGUGCGUGACCUGGGGCCCAACCAGUCGUCUACAAGCGGCGGGCAGCGACUCGCCGGGCUGAGGCGGGGACAUAUCCGGACGAGGCUGGAUCGGGGGGAGAUCAGCCAGAUCCAGGCGUGGGAUCCUCUGCGUCGGGGCUCUCUGUAG
RNAcentral lists this ribosomal RNA (501 nucleotides) under Triticum aestivum (bread wheat). RNAcentral describes it as "partial small subunit ribosomal RNA". Lineage: Eukaryota; Viridiplantae; Streptophyta; Magnoliopsida; Poales; Poaceae. The record is from RNAcentral.